GGGUCAGUAGGUUGGUCGUGCCACCGGUACGUACUGGUCUUACUGAUUCCUCCUUCCUGAAGAACCGUAAUGCCAUUAAUUUGGUGUUGCGGGGAAACAGGACUGUUACUUUGAAAAAAUUAGAGUGUUUAAAGCAAGCUAACGCUUGAAUACAUUAGCAUGGAAUAAUGGAAUAGGACGAUCGAUCCUAUUUUGUUGGUUUCUAGGAUUGACGUA
This 216-nucleotide ribosomal RNA is filed under the name Glomeromycotina sp. RNAcentral's name for it is "partial small subunit ribosomal RNA". The stretch from base 40 to 216 matches the Rfam family "Eukaryotic small subunit ribosomal RNA", at positions 686 to 864 of the family's 1831-position model. Lineage: Eukaryota; Fungi; Glomeromycota. The record is from RNAcentral.